UCCUCUUUUACUUCUCCAGUAAAACCACUAUUCCUUGUGUUAGUCUCAUUCUCUAUCUUUCUCGGCUUCUUCUUGCGCUAUUUCUGAUGCUCUGUAUGUCUCUUUCGAAUUUCCUCAUUAAUCCUAUUGAAAACUCGCUGGCAUUAAGAGCUAAUUCGUAUUCUACAUUUCAGGGGAGGUCAAUAUGGUAUUGAUGCUAAGGAAGGCAAGGAGUACACAAAUAUUGGGGGUUUGAACAGUUUGUAGCCUAUCUCACCAUGAAAGUCAUGAGAAAGUUGUGAUGCAUCCGGAAUGCAAGUUGUUGCUGGUGGAUUAUUGGGAUUGGCUAUAACAGCAAUUGCAUGCAAUCACGGGCUCCAAAUGUCAAGCAUGAAGUUAGAGAAGCUGUUGCAUUCCAUUGCUGCGACUAUACGAAGAAUCAAAAUAAUAGAUAGCUACCACCAUAUUUGUUUAUUACUUUGUUCUGAAUUCCCCUUCAAGACACUAUAUACAGUUAAGUGAUAAUCUGCUCAAGUAAUACUUGUGCAAGAGAACCAAUAUUGACGAAAGUCCCUUCCUCUAAUACAGGUAAUCUGAUCUUCAUUA
Nicotiana attenuata is the source of this 585-nucleotide long non-coding RNA. RefSeq lists it as uncharacterized. Lineage: Eukaryota; Viridiplantae; Streptophyta; Magnoliopsida; Solanales; Solanaceae. The transcript is spliced from 4 exons. The record is from RefSeq and is a predicted model, not a curated record.